This 503-nucleotide long non-coding RNA is filed under the name Junco hyemalis (dark-eyed junco). Its description in RNAcentral is "lncRNA (ENSJHYG00000012581.1)". Lineage: Eukaryota; Metazoa; Chordata; Aves; Passeriformes; Passerellidae. The record is from RNAcentral.
UUUGUGUUGGGAUGCAUGUGUUGGCAUCAGGAAUUAAUUCAGCAUUUCUCCUGCAUAUCAGGCUGACAGGAACUCGCUCAGACCGAAGGCAUGCUCCGGCACAUCUGACGUCGUGUCUUUGAGGGCGCUUCUCGUAGUGGUCCCAGGGAAAUGCCAGCCAACUCUGUGCUCUUUGGCAAGAGGACAGUGAUGCCAACAGGGUGGGUUGAUUAGCACAUGAGAGAUUCCAGCACAGCCUCAUCUAUCUGGAAAAGAGAAUGCAAAUGGAGAGAUUCACUGCAUGGAAAGGGCAAGAAUCACACACUAAAAGGCUGGAAUAUUCUCAGCAUCCUUGGAGCUGACUUAUGUGGGUGAAGAGAGGGUGCCAACAGCCAAGAGUGUCUCUGCAGCUAUGGGUAUGAUGGGAGGGCCCCUUGUUCAAGGGUAUCUCAACCAGUUUCAAGUAACCAGUGUGGUCUGUUCAGGUCAAUAUUAUGGACAGCAAUAAACAAGAGGACACUGUG